Molecule: long non-coding RNA, 1225 nt
Organism: Solanum dulcamara
Lineage: Eukaryota; Viridiplantae; Streptophyta; Magnoliopsida; Solanales; Solanaceae
Exons: 4
Source: RefSeq, a predicted model, not a curated record
CUCUAAUUAACCCAUUUAGCCUUCUUCGUUCUUUCAGAAAACCCUUUUUCCAGUGGUCGGUCUUCGACAAAGAGGUCUUUGGCAAAGCUUCCUGGGAAAUUUCUCUGGCAAAAUAACAUCUUUCUGGUGAAUGAGGAACUUUCCUGUGGUAAUCUUUGACAACAACUUCUCAUACAAUGUGAAGCUCCAGUGGUCUUUUGCAUAUAAAGCUGAAGGCCUUCCUACUCAAAAUAAAAGAGGUAGAACGCAAAUGCCUAAAGUAUAUACCCGAAAAGAGCGUAAAUUGAUCCAGCUAAACAGCAAGAAUCAACCUGUUGGUCCUACUGAUGAUGUUGUAACAAAGUUAAGUAGCUUUUUUAGGCACAUUGGCAAGAACUGCGACCCUUUGCCCAUUUGAUAUACUUGAUUGGAGGAGCAUGGACACUAAAAAUGAUUUAUGGGAGUAUACCAAGGAGAAAUACAUUAUUCCUGAAGCUGCAAAAAAAAUGGACUUUGGUAACAAUUCGAGAUGCUUGGAGAAGGCAUAGAAGUGAGUUGAAGACAAAUUAUUAUGACCCAUAUGAAAAUGAUGAAGUUCGAAUGGCAAAAAAAUCGGGUCAUAUUCCAGAAUGUCAGUUUAGAGAGCUCCUCAAAUAUUGGAAGUAUGAGAAAUUCAAGAUAUGCUUUUAAGGCUGAAAUGGAAGAAAUUGAAGUACAAAUGAGCGCAAAUGGUCAGUUUAUCGAUGCAUUUUCAACCGUCAUCGAUCCUGAACCUCUGGGACGUCUCAGACUAUAUGGAGCGGGGGUUACAAAGACUAUUUUAAAAACAAAAAUUGACAAUUCUGGACCAACUUUAAAUGCAACAAAUGAUGUAGUGCAACAAAUGGAAGAAAGGAUGCAAAAAGUGGAGAAAAAAAUGGAGGAACAAAAGAAAACUAUGCGACAAGAAGUUAUGGCAGAUGUAAUUUCACAACUUCAGCAAGCAGGAUUAAUUGAUCCUAACAUACUAGCAGCGUUCUGUCCUUUCACCAAGAGAAGCUACUUCUGCAGAAGCACAAGCUCCUUUGUGUCUCUCUUGCCACUCUAGUUCCUUUCUCUAUUAGAACUCUAUUUUCUCUUUGUUCAGUUUUCUGUAGCGACUAUUAUUUCUUGCUCUUCUUUAUUUUUCUAUUGGACUGUUGUAGCAUUUACGUGAUAAAGGAUUGUUGGGUGCUCUUAAUAAGAUCUCAAAAAUAUCUCUUCUCAA